Zonotrichia albicollis (white-throated sparrow) is the source of this 11791-nucleotide non-coding RNA. The record is from RefSeq and is a predicted model, not a curated record. NCBI's taxonomy places the organism in Eukaryota, Metazoa, Chordata, Aves, Passeriformes, Passerellidae.
GCAAAAUAUUAAAUGAUUGAGUAGUGUGGAAAAAAAAUAAGAUUCAAAGUCUGAUUCAGUAGUUCUCAUUAGCAUUUGACAGUAUUUAGUGAUUUGAACAGAUUUUUACUGAGUUCCCAAUGAAAGUAAGAAAUCACUGAGUACAUAAGCAUAAAAAUAAGGGCAGAAAUAUUUAAAUAUGCAAAUAUUGAGGUAGCAAUAUAGAUUAGCUCAGGAACAUUAAUAAAAUCACUAAAGAUCAAUUCAGACUAUGAUCCACUAUAGGAAGGAAAUGUUUUGCUAAAAUCUAUGGGCCAAUUUUCUCAAAUUCAAAGUAUGAUAUCUGGAUUCAAUCAUGUAAAAUUGACCUGUGUUUCUUCCCUGAGAGCAGGAUCAAGUUAUCUACCUGAUUUGGAAAAUAUGACAUGUUCAUACUCAUAUGAAUUUAAAUAGAUUUAUUGAUUGGUGGUAGUGUUAAUUAUUUCUCUGUUGUGAUUAUCAUUGUGAAAUACAGGAUUUCAUGCCCAAAGAAGCUGAAGACCAUCUUUUAUCUUUGAAGUUAUUUUAUUUGUUUUGUCUUUGAUGUCCAAUUUUACCCUCUCCUUACCACAUGCACCACAAGCUCCCUUGCAUGAGGUUUCAAAAGCAAAACUUUGUGGAUCCUUUGCUGAACCACAAGUCUCUGAGUGCUGUUGUACUCAUGUUCCACUCAGUGUUGAAGUCACAAGGUCUCUCUGUUGGUAGCUCUUCCAAAGAGAGAGAAGCUUUAUUUACCAGCCAAAUCUACACAUUUCACCAUCUUCAUGUCUGAAAUUUGAGCAUAUGUAUACAUCAUAAUUCAGAUGAGCACCAAUUUAACUUCUCUGGGCAUUUUCAUUCCUCAUUCCCACCAUAGUUUGGCUGCAGGAAAGAAUGUAGAAUUUUAAGUCCAUGAUUCUUAUCAAGGACCAUCAUAUUGAUGUGGGAGACUGCAAACUAGCUACUGAAAUGGCUCACAAGGCUCUAGUUAUCCCGUGCAAAGCACUCAACUUCCAAUUUCAAAAUAAAAUCCAUACAAUACAGUUCAGUAGCACAACAUAAACAACCUCUACGUUAGAGCUUAGCCUGAGAUGUCCAUCAUACUGUAAGCUAAUAGUCACAAUUUCCAGUAAAAAAAUCAAAAUUUCUGUCUCAGACCUUUUGUGAUAAAUACUUUCAACAGCUUCCACUACCUCUUCUUUGUAAAAUUUUUGGGUUUAUCCCUUAAUAAUAAUAAUGCUAGUGGUAUUUACCAAACCCCUAACAUUUAGAAAGGAUAGUGAGACUACUAUUAUAGUAGAUAGUGAGACCAGUAUUAUAUGUUUAGAAUCAUUAUUUUCACAGAAAUAUAAGUAAUUGUAAGCAGUACUUCCAAUCAGAAAGGUGAGACAACUACAGUUAAAGAGAGUAAGGACAACUAAAUGUACAUUGGUAAUCUUCAUUACUUUUGUAAACUAUCUCAGAGAAGCACAUAGAGGCAACAAGAUAACGAGCUUUCAAGCUUCAUGCUGAAUUUACUGCCUUUUUCCAUGUGACAUAUAAGCUCCAGCAAAGGAGAAUUUUUUUAUAUCAAGAAUGCUUCAAGAAACAUAAGGCAAGUCUGCUACCCCACUGAGUACUGUGCUUUCUGAUUUUGAAAGCUGUUUGUUAUGCUUUGAAAACAGGCACUAGUAAAGGCAGAAUUAAAUCCUCUGCUGUCAAAUGACAAAACUGGUGCAAUUUUUUUUGGCAUUGACCAAAAAAAUAAAAUUACUGAGUUUUCCUAAGUCAUUUACCAUAAAACCAUCAUCCUUUCAGAAAAAGAAUGUGCAAAAUAAACAACCUGACUUGGAUUUUUUUUUUCUGUUAUUUAACAAUUUUGGUUUUUUAAAUAACCCCUUAUUUACAAAGCCUGUGAUCAGAUAUUCCAAGUCUUGUUGUCAUUAGGGAAAGAAAAGAAUACAUUAAUUGUAGGCAGUUGCAGCAGGGAACAUCAAGCAAUUACCCGGGAGGAAUUCAACCAGCUCAGUGGUUAUGAAAAACACUGUGGAGUUUUUAAUAAACAGUUGAAGCAGAUUGCUGCUUUAAACUCUUUCUGAUGAGAUGUUCCCCUAAAGAAAAUUACACCAUCCUCAGCACCAGUCUAGCUGAAAAUAUUGUUACCUGUAACUAAUCACCAAAGCUUAAAAAAGCCGUAAACAGGCACUGGUGGUGAAAGAGCUCUCUCCAAAUUCCUGCUCAUUGCUUCCCACACAGUGUCCCUGACUUUAUCUCCUGUAGCCGUAAUGUUUGUGCAGCUGCCUAAUGAGCUCGUUGGCAGAAACGAUCCUGCCCCCUGUAACCUCACCCUUCCCUGCCCCACCCCAGUGCCUGGAUUUUGGGUUAGUCACCCAGCCUGAAUCAGCGCACGCCUUAUGUCACCAUGAAGGGAGAGAUGAAGUUCAGGGAAAGGAAAAAUGGCAUUUCACAGACAUAAUGCUGGUUUAAAGCAUGGUUUAUGAAGCUAUUGUAAACUGAUAAAAUGAUUCACAGAGCAAAGGACUGCUGGAGCACUCCAGUCCAACCUCACACUCACAGAGUUAACUUCCACAUUAGAUGAGGCUUCUGUAGAGUUUUGUAGAGAAAAACUAUUUUAUGUGCUUUUGUUGGGUUUGUUGGUUUAGCUUGCUUUUUAUUUCCCCUUUAUUCAGUUAGAAUUUCCUUUUCCUCAGCUUGUGAAUGUUAUCUAUUUCUCAUUUCUGACUGCUGAGCUCUGAGAAGAGUCUGGCUUCAUCUUCUUCAUACUAACCAGCACCCAGUGGAAGGGAAGAAUCCUUUCCUAUGACCAGCUCCCUGCAUAGUUAAUUUUACAGCCAAGUUUGCAAGUAAUAAUUAUCACAAAGACAUUUUCUAAAUUAAUAGUGUUUCAAGAAAAAUUGUUGCUUUCAUUUUACAAGUGACCUUCUUGGAAAAAAAUCUGAUUUGAAGAGUAUUUUAAUCUCUGUUUGGAGGAGAACAGAGUGGGCACUGCACAUUUUGCUAUGAAACCAUGAAAAAAUCUAUUGCUUUGUGGGAAAAAGACAUUGCCUCCAAUGCCAGGACUUUCAGCAUUUUAAAAAUUGCUUUGGGCACCAAUAGCAUAUUUUCAGUUUUGCUCAUUUUAAAGAAGUCUAAAGAAUAUUGAAUCUGUUUUGUGGUCCUUGCAUUAUUUCCCAACUGUUUGAAAACAAAAAUCUCUUUUUAUAGCCCAUCUAUUUUACUGUCAACAAUAAAGCAAAUCUGCCUCAGGAAAAGAGCUUUAAAUAUAGCUGUGGUGCUAUCAACAAGUUAGCACUUCUACAUGAAAGCAAGUCCAGUUCAUUCCAGAGUUUUGCUGCAGGAGAUAGAAAUCAGCAGUGCCAUAGCAUGAAUGCAAGCUGAGUUCUUCAUUGCUCAUUUUUGCUGGAGGGAGCUGGAGAGCUCAGAUACAUUGGAACACCUUUCUGUCUGAUAAUGUACGGCUGGGUGUGCUCCAUAUAAGUUAAAGGUUGGUGGUGAAUCCCAAAGUUUUUCAAUGCUGGGAAUGAGUGUUCAUGAAGUGUGCUGGACUCAGCUGAAUGUGGAGUUUAUCUAAAGAAAGCUUAGUUCUAAGAAGUGAGCAGGUUGGCUUUUCUCUUUGGCCCAACUGUUAGCCUAAAAUCAAAAGAAGGAAUGUAACAGCCUGGGAACACCUCAGAGCUUAAGGACACUUCAGUCCCUUGUUACUCUUAACUAGAAAAGUCUAAAGAAAGAAAUUUAUCCUUUUCCUCACUCUUGUUUUGACAGACAUGUGCCAGAUUUCCUCAUGGGCUACCCACUGCCCAAAAUUUCAGUCUGUGCUUCCAAACGGGCCCAUGGUGUGCAACAUUAAAAUUAUUGUAUGACCUCUGACAAGUUCCCACAUCACCUUUGUUCCCUAUUUUCCAGUUUCAUCUUUGUUCCUCUAGGAGUUCCCAGCAUUUAUUAACUUCCACCUUUCCAGCUGGUGAAGGAUCCUUUUCUUCCUUCCAUUAACCAAGAGUGAGUUAAAAGUCUAAAUACUAAAUACAGUGGGUUUUGAGCCCUGAAGAAAUCACUGGAGCAUUUGAAAGUAAACUUUCCUGAACUGUUGAUAUUAUUUCCAUGCCUCUCCUAAGGCCUAAUUCUAAAAUUAUAUGAUGUAUAUAUAGUUCAAAUCUGAGAUAGAUUGAACUGUCAGUGAUGAUAGCUAGUGACACUGUCUAAAAAAAAGAGGAAGUUACUUAUUCUAUGUGUUGUGUUUUAAUAUAAUCUACUUGUGUUUUCUGUUGUGAUUUUUCCCUCGAGAUUGUAACAGAUUUUAGCUCUGUCUGCUGUGAUUCUUGGUGAACUGCAUUGAAGUGAGCAGGGACAGACUCACUAUCUCCACAGAGAUUCUAAAGAAAUUUCCAGUGAAAUCACUCAUCAUCAAAUUAUUGUAAAUGUUUACAAUAAGGAAGACCAUUACAAUUGACAGUUAAAAACAGUGAUGUUCAUUCUCAGAUAACAAAAGCUAAUGAAACAAAAGCAGCAUUUUGAAUAAUGAAGAACACCACAGACAGAGAUGAAGCACUUCAUUCAGAACCCAGGUUUGUUUUUUAUUUCCAAAGAGAAUUUAUUGCAGAAUUCAAAUGGGGCAAUACUGAAUUCCAAUAGUAAAACUUCCCUUAAUUCACUGAAGGCAGCCUCUCCUGUCACAAGCAUCACUCGAAUUCCAAAACCUGUCUGGAUAGGUGAGGGGAGAGCAGCGGAAUGUUGCUCACCAGACUUCAGUAAGGUGUUUGAUGCUAUCUCCCAUGAUAUCCCCAUCGACAAAGUAAUUAAGUGAAGGUUGGACAAAGGGAUGGAGAGAUGGAUGGAGAACUGACUGAACAGCAGAGCUUAGGGGGCUUUUGAUCAGUGGCACAGAGACCUGGAUGAAAACCUGCAACAAGUGAUAUCCCCCAAGGGUUUUGAUACUGGGUCCAAUCUUGUUCAACUUAUAACUUAGAUGAAGGGGUAGAUACUGCCAGUAGGUUGACUGAUGACACAAGGCUGGAAGGAGUGGCCAAUUCCCCAGAGGGAUGUGCAGCCCUUCAGAUGGACCUCAACAGGCUGGAGAGUUGGGCAGAGAAGAACCUUCUGGAAUUCAAUGGAGGGAAAUGCAGGGUCUUGCACCUGGGGAGGAGCAGAGAUUGCACCUGCUGGAAGGCAGCUCCACAGAGAAGGAGCUAGGAGUCCUGGUGGACAAUUAGCUCUGCAUAAUUGUGCCAAGAAGGCCAAUGGAAGAGCCUUCAUUACCAGCAGGCUGAGGAAAGUGAUCCUGCCCAACUGCUCAGCCCUUGUGAGGCCACAUACACUGUGCUGUGUCUGGUUCUUGCCUCCUCACUACAACAGGGACAUGGAGAUCCUGGAGCAGGUCCACCAAAGGACCAUAAAAAUUAUUUCCUCUCAUGAGGAAAAGCUGUGAGAAGUGGGCCUAUCCAGCUUUGAGAAGAGACAACUGAGAGAAGGCAUCACCAAUGUCCGUCAGUGUCUGAAGGGAUGGUGAUGGGAGGAUGGACCGAGCUUUGUUCAGUGGUGCUGAGCAAAAGGACAAGAGCAACAGGCAGAAACUCAUGCACAGCAAGUUCCACCUGAACAUGAGGAAGUACUUCUUUAUCUUGUGGGUGACCAAGCAGUGGAACAGAUUGCCCAGAGAGAGAGUGUGGAGUCUCCUUCACUGGAGACAUUUAAAGGCCAUCAGAACAGAUGGAAGGAUAGAAUGCCCAGUGUGCAUUAUCUAAAGUUUCCAAAUAGAAGCUCUGUCUUUCCACUUACAGUGAUUUCAAAUGACGUGGAAACCUUGAAGUUCCUCUACCAACCAUCAAAGGAAAACCAGCUGGAUUAUACUGGCAAGUACCUCAGGAAGGCAGAACUAAUUGCUCCAAUUAUUACUGGAGAGCCAGGUGGGAAAUUAGAAUGUGGGGGCCAAUUGGGGAUAGAUAAAAAAUACUUCUCAGAGUUCAGAGAGGAAGCUGAUAAUACUUAGGUUUAUAAGGCUGCUGUUGUUUAUCUUGACUCAGUUUUUUAAGUUUGGGUUUUAGGCAUUAGUAGUAAGGCUAUUCCUAGCUUAAGGGGACAUGUAUAAAAUAUAGAUUUCUUUUUAAAAAACGAGAGAGGGUAAGGACUACUGCCAGUGCAUAGGCCUGACUCAUUUGCUUAAGGAUCCCUUGUGACAGAAAAGUGUAUCUGGUCUUUUAAAUUCUUAAAAUCAGCAGGCAGGCUAUCUGCAAGUGCUUUCAGUACUUGUUUUCUAUUCCCUUAUGUCCUUUUUGGCUCUGUAAUUUAGCAGCUGCUCAUGUGAGAAAUUACCCUUGCUGGUAUUUUCUGCUUUAAAUUUUGUUAGAAUUGAUUAGAAUUAUAGUGUCAAGUAGUAGCAGACCCUUGUUAGAAGGUAAUGGCAGAAAGCAAGGUUCUGAUUUUAUAUUAAAGACAGUUUAAACAAAGUCAGGUUGAAUUUCAGCCCUUUUAUUUACAGGGAUAGUAGAGAAGUUUGGCAAUUCUUCUUCUUUUAAUUAGAUAUCUUCCUGGGAAAGGAUUACAUUUUAAUCAGUAAUAUUUUAUUUUGAAAAAAACCUAAACAUUUUCUACAUGUAAAUCAGAAGGGCAACAGGGCUAUAAAAGCAAGCAUUACAGACACUAAGAAUGGGUUUUUAAAAAUAGAUUAACAUGUUUAUAUUGCUCUUGAGCAAAGACAAUGAGAAUGUGCAGCAAUUUCUUUUGCUAUGUACAUGACAUGAACUCAAAACUAAAAAAAUGCAAUUCAACCAUUGUUCAAGUCAGUGGUAAUCUGAUGAUAAAAUGCUGGUAACAUUUCAGAUUGUCUAUAUUUCUCUUUACAUCCAUGGAUCAAUAUCCAUUAGAAUCAAGUCAGCAGUCUCAUACUCAAUCAGUAAAAGACUCUCUUGAUUAAAACAAAAAUACUUGAAAUUCCAGACUUUUUCCAGGUUCUCAUACAUUUUGGUAUAUGUUAGGAUUAAAUGAGCAAAAUCCAGAAUUAUUUGAGUUGAGGGAAGGGACGUGUGGUCCCUUCCCACAACUCAAAUGUCAAAGAUAGUAUUUGACCUAAAUAGAUGAUGCUUUCUGUGGUUUUGAGAUACCAAUCUAAAAAGGUCUUAAAAGGAAUUGGUUUAAGCCUUAGUCCAGAAACCUAAAACUAUUCUCCACCGUGGUGAAAGUCACUGCUUCUGACUUGGUCAUUUACUGCUGCUCUAUAUAUUAUUCUUUGUCUGUUAUUUAUACUGCCAGGAGUCACGAAUCAUGUUACAGAAGAUAAAAAUUUUCAGUUUAGUUCAAUUCAAUAAAUUUUAAGAAAAAUUAAUAUGUACUAGUUUAUGAUCUGUAGGUAAAUUCAAGACUACUCCAGCAUGUGAAUUCACAGUUCCUCUGUCUAUUCAGUCACUUCCUGACAUAAAUAUAAAAAUGAGCCAUUGUAUGCUAUGUAAAUAUACUUGCAAUUUUCCUUGGGAAUAACAGUUCUCAGAUUCUUGCUACCCAGUACUGUACAUGUGACAUUCUCAUGUUGCUUCAGUAGUUGAAACAAUGAAAAGAAACUAAAAAGUGGAAUUUUCCUGGCACAGAGUUGCUGACCUAUCUGUUCAAAACAAAACACUGGAUGAAGUGUGUGAAAUGUGGGUGCCUGAUGCUCCUAAUCAAAGGUACAGAAGAAGGAGAGAAAUGUUUUUACUUCUGUAGCUGUCAAACACCUGAAUGGACAGCAGCUCCCAGAACACCACUUACACCGAGCAGGCAUAUCUGCAGUUUGUGUGUUGAGCCCUUCAAAAAUCUUUGUCAACUCCUUCAUAGCAAAGAGUCAUAGAAUGUUUGGGCUGGAAGGGAUCUGUAAAGAUCAUCAACCCCACCCCAUGACAGGGACACCUUCCACUAGACCAGGCUGCUCAAACCCCCAGUGUUCAACCUGUCCUUGAACGCUUCCAGGGUUAGGGCAUCCAUCACUCCUCUGGAAAACCGGAUCCAGUGCCUCACAAAUUCAAUGUAAAUCUACUCUCAGUUUAAAACCAUUGUCACUUAGGCCCUGGCAAAAAGUUUUUUCCUUUUUUUGUAAAUCCUCUUUAUCUACUUUAAGCUACAACGUCAGUCUUCUCUAGGCUGGACAACCCCAAAUCUCUCAGCCUGUCUCUAUAGGAAAGGUGCUCUGUCUCUGAUAAUUCUAAAGUAAGAAAUCUUCUCACCUGUAGUAAACCUGCUAUUUUUAGCCUGGACAAACCAGACAUCAAAGUAUAGAUUUGUGCAUAUACAAAAGCAUUUGCAAAUCUCAGUAACUGUAUCAUAAUUAUCUGUUAAUAACUUUCUUCAUCUACCCUUUUUCUCCUCCUAAACCUUUCAAGUUGGAGGUCCAAUAUUAGGGCAUUUUUCUCUGAAUAUCCUCAUAAGGAAUAACAUUAUACUUCUGAUAUUUCAACAUUGGGAUUUAAAAUAAAUCAAAAUGCUGGUUUAAGAUGUGAGAUGCAGCAAGCCCUCAUCCUGUUCUCAGUCAUAAUACAAUGAAUCCUGAGAUUUAAAGAGUGUUACUUUAGCCUCAUUUAAGAGCAAAUAAAAAUGAAUUCUUUUCUCUGAGUUUUAAUUACUCUGAAGAAUAUGGCAUUGGUUAGCUGUGCCUAUUCUGUCAGUUUGUUUCAUGCCUUGUUUUACUCAAGAGAGAUAAUCCACUUAUCACUCCUGGGUGCUCCUCUUCAGGAGAAACAGUGUGAAACAGUUUGCAAGACAAUUUGCUCCAGGGUCUAUUCUGUGCAGAAAGGAUGGAUGAAAAUUUGACUAGGGGGGUUCAAAAAGCUAUAAAGGAACAUUUACAAGUCAAAUUAUUCCCUUUCAGAGGGUCAUGCACCUUUCCAAAAUCUUAUUAGAAUGACUUCCUGGCAUGUUUAAAGGUUUCUGUAGAAUUUUAACAAUUUUUUGUCAUAAAUAAAGAUUAGAUUGCCUAUAUUAUUGAAAUACAGUGAUAAGAAAUUAAACCAUUCUGUAUUUCUUUGUUUAUUAUUUUGGCUGAUGAACCACAGAGCUCAAAAAUUAAGAAAAAAAGCUUUUUUUUAAUCUUAAACUACUCUGAAUAGAUGCAAUUAAGUCCACAGUAAAAUUUGCCUGUUAAAAUAUGAUCACAAAGUAUGUUUGGAGCUUCUUCUUGUUGUGCUUGUUUUUUGUUGUUUUUAUUUCCUUUAAUCUCUAACUUAGGCAAAUUACUAGCAUGACCAAAAAUAAAUUUAAAAAAGGAAAACUCCUGCAAGAGUUUACCAAAGUAUACUAAAUGAGAACAUAUCUCUAUCAUAUAAUUUUGUAGAAAUUCAGUAAGUAUGUGUGCACCUUUAGACUUUGAAUUAAUACAAAUCUAUUCCUUCUGUUGUCCUAUGGGAAUAUAUUUACUGGACCUUUACUAGAACAUUCUGAAAAUUUCUGUUCAGGUUCAAUCAACUGUAGAGGGAGACAGUUUCUUACUCAGAGAACGUUGUUUAAUUACACUCAAAGUAUGAGUCUCAAAGGACCAUUGGAAAGGCCGUAAAGUGAACCUUUGAGAAAUGGCUGGACAGCGAACAGAAGAUUUUGGUAUUCGGGACAUGGACUGGAGGGUAAUAAAAAAAAGAAGAAAAAAGAAAGGUAGGAAAACCUUACUGUCUUGGAAGAUUUGGGUGAGGUGCUCCACUGAUCUUGUAGAAAGAUUACAAUUUUCUGACUGAAAAUCCUCACAACAAUAAGGCCAGCCACAGAGGAUGACAGAAGCACUGUGAGUUCUCAUUCACUCAGAAAAGACUCUGACAUACUCCUAAAAGACUCUUUGCUUGAGAUGAACCUCAGUGGCUGAGGACUGAGGAAUGAUUGAGGAAUGAUAUUUUGCACAUAUACAGAAUCUUCAACAGGAGAAGAUGCAACAUUUCCAUGACAAUGCUAUUUAUAUCUAGAUAUCUUUCUCCUGUUAGAAGAAAUGGCAUCUUGGGAUUACCUAGCAAAUUCACCCUUAUAAAAUGUAUGGAAAUAUUUUCCCCAUAUAUUUUUUAAAUGGAUAAAUGGUUGGUAGGUGGAAAAUACCAUCUGGAGCUUAUUGAGCAACUGAGCAACUUCACAGGACAGAUAUACCAAUCAUGAUCUACAACUGAAUCAAGAUAUUAAUAAUGUGGUUUUAAUUAUUAGUUUCAAUCUUUACAUGGAUGAAAUUGAGUUUUUUAUAAUGUCUGUAAUACUUUAACCAUGUUAUAAGAAAUCUUUGAACAAGGUAUAUUGCACUUUCUGAAACAAUUACAGAAAUUGGCUUGCAUAACUUAAUGGAGACCACAAUAUGUAUAAUAAGAUUCACUGAAGCUUAAGAAGAUGAAGUAUUUCAUCUGCUCAGGGCAGAAUACCCACAGUAAGAUAGCAUGCAACAAUGCAUAUCAUAAAAAUAACUAAUACAGUGUCCAAGAACAAAACUCUGAUUUUUUUAUAUUAUUAAGUAGUACAAAAAUACAGACUAUGAGAAGAGAAUAUAUUCAGAGAAACAAAGAUUAUCAUAGACAGGAUCACAGUUGUUUAUAUUGACCAUUUGGUCAUGCCAGCAAAGUAAUUAGCACUCUUUUCCAAUAUUUACUUAAAACUAUCCUGAUAUAUGUUAAUAGCACAAAAACUAUUCCCAACAAAACAUUAACACAUGUGGGCAAACAAUUACAAAAUGAGCAUGUGUUCUCUGGAGAUUGCACUUAUGUAAUUGCCUAAAUUCUGUUGUCAUAUCCCCAUGAGCUGAACUCAAGCCCUGUUGCUACAGUUUGGUUUCAGGCACCCAGAAACCAAUUCUCAUUGUCAUUUUAGUAUCUCACAUUUCUUUGCCUGCAUCUACUGGUUUAAAGAUCCUCUGAGUCCCCUGCCAGAUUUGUCAGGCCUGUGUGGAUGACUUGGAUGACUAAAACAUUUCACACAGCAGUAGAACUGCGUGUUCAAUCAAUCAAAUUUGUUCUUCACCAUUUUAGAGAGAUUAACCCAAGGCUACUUUUUAUAGAAGUUAUGCCCUAAGAAUGUCUGAAAAUGUAAAAAAAAGAGUACCAGUAUGAAAAAGUUUUACAUGUAACUCUAAGUCAUUAUUUGCAAAUAAGAGUACAAAUACCAGCUAUGGGAAAUCUGUACAGUUAAUGAAAAGUGGGAAUGAAUAUUUGCUUCCACUUAACUCCAGGGCUCAUCUGGUCCAAAACACAGGUAAGUGAACUAAAGAAAAUGCAUGGUUUUAAGAUUGUAGUUUUCUUUUAUUCAUCUAUAAAAAGAAUGCCAAAAUAAAUCUGUAAUUCUGAAGUAAUUCUCAGUUAAUAGUAAGUUCCUCUAAAUUCUGAACUACUUUCCCAAAACAUAAUUACAUUUACAUGGUGAAACUCAAAUGCUCUUGAUUGUUUUCCAGCUUUUAGUUUAACUUAUCCUUUUAAACUGACCUUUCCCCUCUUAGUCGGCUGGAAAUCAGACACUGAAAUCCAGGCUGACUGCACCAGCCUCUCUCAAUGGCAAAAAACACUCAAUGAGAACCAGUCAUUUUAUCAGAAUAGGAGUUGUAACACUUAGAGCUCCCAAGGUAGCAGAGGUGAAUUGCAUUGUAAGAGAAAAUUAGGAAAUUGCAGCUCUUAAGUCAUUUGCAAAUUUUGAAGACAAGAAGAAACAUAACUUUGGAAAGGUAAUUUCAGACCAAACGUUACACACACAUCUUUCAGAAUGUUUCAAAAGGUGGUUUGGGUAUUGUUUGGUUUAUUGUUACUUGGAUUUGUUUGGGUUUGGCGUUAAUUAAUAACACCAAUAAGAAAUGAAAAUAUUUUGUAUUUUUAGGCUCUGAAAUUUAGGA